Molecule: ribosomal RNA, 723 nt
Filed under: Agaricus bisporus (cultivated mushroom)
Lineage: Eukaryota; Fungi; Basidiomycota; Agaricomycetes; Agaricales; Agaricaceae
Description: eukaryotic LSU rRNA
Rfam family: Eukaryotic large subunit ribosomal RNA
Source: RNAcentral
AGGAAAAGAAACUAACAAGGAUUCCCCUAGUAACUGCGAGUGAAGCGGGAAAAGCUCAAAUUUAAAAUCUGGCGGUCUUUGGCCGUCCGAGUUGUAAUCUAGAGAAGUAAUGCCCGUGCUGGACCGUGUAUAAGUCUCCUGGGAUGGGGCGUCAUAGAGGGUGAGAAUCCCGUCUUUGACACGGACUACCAGUGCAUUGUGGUAUGCUCUCAAAGAGUCGAGUUGUUUGGGAAUGCAGCUCAAAAUGGGUGGUAAAUUCCAUCUAAAGCUAAAUAUUGGCGAGAGACCGAUAGCGAACAAGUACCGUGAGGGAAAGAUGAAAAGAACUUUGGAAAGAGAGUUAAACAGUACGUGAAAUUGCUGAAAGGGAAACGCUUGAAAUCAGUCGCGUUGGCCAGGGAUCAGCCUUGCUUUUGCAUGGUGUACUUUCUGGUUGACNNGGGUCAGCAUCAAUUUUGACCGCUGGAAAAGGGCCUGGGGAAUGUGGCAGCUUCGGCUGUGUUAUAGCCCCUGGUCGCAUACAGUGGUUGGGAUUGAGGAACUCAGCACGCCGCAAGGCCGGGUUUCGANCACGUUCGUGCUUAGGAUGCUGGCAUAAUGGCUUUAAGCGACCCGUCUUGAAACACGGACCAAGGAGUCUAACAUGCCUGCGAGUAUUUGGGUGGAAAACCCGAGUGCGCAAUGAAAGUGAAAGUUGAGAUCCCUGUCGUGGGGAGCAUCGAC